AGUGAACGCUGGCGGUAGGCCUAACACAUGCAAGUCGAACGGCAGCACAGUAAGAGCUUGCUCUUACGGGUGGCGAGUGGCGGACGGGUGAUGAAUAUAUCGGUAUCUACUUUUUCGUGGGGGAUAACGUAGGCACUCAUACGCUAAUACUGCUUACGAACUACGGGUGAAAGCAUCGGAUCUUCGGACCUUGGGUGAUUCAAUGAGCCGAUGUCGGAUUAGCUAGUUGGCGGGGUAAAGGCCCACCAAGGCGACGAUCCGUAGCUGGUCUGAGAGGAUGAUCAGCCACACUGGAACUGAGACACGGUCCAGACUCCUACGGGAGGCAGCAGUGGGGAAUAUUGGACAAUGGGCGCAAGCCUGAUCCAGCCAUACCGCGUGUGUGAAGAAGGCCUUCGGGUUGUAAAGCCCUUUUGUUGGGAAAGAAAAGCAGCAGGUUAAUACCCCGCUGUUCUGACGGUACCCAAAGAAUAAGCACCGGCUAACUUCGUG
RNAcentral lists this ribosomal RNA (492 nucleotides) under uncultured bacterium. RNAcentral describes it as "partial 16S ribosomal RNA". It matches the Rfam family "Bacterial small subunit ribosomal RNA", at positions 29 to 507 of the family's 1533-position model. The record is from RNAcentral.